RNAcentral lists this unclassified non-coding RNA (741 nucleotides) under Hevea brasiliensis (rubber tree). The record is from RNAcentral. Lineage: Eukaryota; Viridiplantae; Streptophyta; Magnoliopsida; Malpighiales; Euphorbiaceae.
CUUUCCACUAACUUUUUUACGCUUCCUCUAAGUGGUUUUCUGUUCAGACAGGGAAAAAACCGGCCAGCGGUUUUCACGACACCUGGAAAGCGAACGCUGGGGCUGCGUUUUCUCGAGAAAUCGUUUUCUCAUGAAACAAACAGUUGUCUUUCUCUGUUUUUCUUAGCGAGAGAACUGUACUUGUUUUUUGGAGGUCUUAGUUUUGUUUGAGUGAAAAUUGAGAGAAACUUCUGUACUACUGCUUGAGCUCAGCAAAUGUGUAAAGACUUGUGACUUAAUACUUUCAGUUAAACUUUCAAAAGUGUUUAUCGGAGCAUGGGAGUUGUUGUUACAGAUGGUGGAAUGAGGAUCUAGAUUUGACAAAAAUUGGUUGUUGGUUUUAGUGAUCUUGAAUAUUUGUGGACUUGUGCAUGGAAACAAGAGAAGGAUUAACUUCAGGGGUUACAGUGAUAGGAGCUGAAGCUCCAUCAACUUAUCAUGUGGCGCCAAGGACUGAAAAUACUAGCCAGAUGGGAUUGGCCGGAGCUGUGUCACCGCUUAGUGUGGGAUUGACUGGAACAACGGAGAAGAAGAAGAGGGGUAGGCCUAGGAAAUAUGGGCCGGAUGGGACAGUAGCUAGGGCAUUGUCGCCAAUGCCAAUUUCUUCUUCAGCUCCACCUGGUGGAGACUUCUCUGGCGGAAAGCUGGGUAAAGUAUGGUUUGAAAAAAAGAAGUACAAGAAAGUGGGAACGGAGAAUUCAG